Molecule: ribosomal RNA, 492 nt
Filed under: uncultured bacterium
Lineage: Bacteria
Description: partial 16S ribosomal RNA
Rfam family: Bacterial small subunit ribosomal RNA
Source: RNAcentral
AGUGAACGCUGGCGGUAGGCCUAACACAUGCAAGUCGAACGGCAGCACAGUAAGAGCUUGCUCUUACGGGUGGCGAGUGGCGGACGGGUGAGGAAUACAUCGGAAUCUACUUUUUCGUGGGGGAUAACGUAGGGAAACUUACGCUAAUACCGCAUACGACCUACGGGUGAAAGCAGGGGAUCUUCGGACCUUGCGCGAUUGAAUGAGCCGAUGUCGGAUUAGCUAGUUGGCGGGGUAAAGGCCCACCAAGGCGACGAUCCGUAGCUGGUCUGAGAGGGUGAUCAGCCACACUGGAACUGAGACACGGUCCAGACUCCUACGGGAGGCAGCAGUGGGGAAUAUUGGACAAUGGGCGAAAGCCUGAUCCAGCAAUACCGCGUGGGUGAAGAAGGCCUUCGGGUUGUAAAGCCCUUUUGUUGGGAAAGAAAAGCAGCAGGUUAAUACCCCGCUGUUCUGACGGUACCCAAAGAAUAAGCACCGGCUAACUUCGUG